This 300-nucleotide ribosomal RNA is filed under the name Escherichia coli HVH 13 (4-7634056). RNAcentral's name for it is "bacterial LSU rRNA". It matches the Rfam family "Bacterial large subunit ribosomal RNA", at positions 2631 to 2925 of the family's 2925-position model. Lineage: Bacteria; Pseudomonadati; Pseudomonadota; Gammaproteobacteria; Enterobacterales; Enterobacteriaceae. RNAcentral also lists the same sequence under 1 other name. The record is from RNAcentral.
UCGGUCCCUAUCUGCCGUGGGCGCUGGAGAACUGAGGGGGGCUGCUCCUAGUACGAGAGGACCGGAGUGGACGCAUCACUGGUGUUCGGGUUGUCAUGCCAAUGGCACUGCCCGGUAGCUAAAUGCGGAAGAGAUAAGUGCUGAAAGCAUCUAAGCACGAAACUUGCCCCGAGAUGAGUUCUCCCUGACUCCUUGAGGGUCCUGAAGGAACGUUGAAGACGACGACGUUGAUAGGCCGGGUGUGUAAGCGCAGCGAUGCGUUGAGCUAACCGGUACUAAUGAACCGUGAGGCUUAACCUU